GCGGGUAUAGUUUAGUGGUAAAACCUCAGCCUUCCAAGCUGAUGAUGUCGGUUCGAUUCCGUCUACCCGCACCA
This 74-nucleotide transfer RNA is filed under the name Puniceicoccus vermicola. Its description in RNAcentral is "tRNA-Gly". It matches the Rfam family "tRNA". From Rfam's summary of the family: Transfer RNA (tRNA) molecules are approximately 80 nucleotides in length. Their secondary structure includes four short double-helical elements and three loops (D, anti-codon, and T loops). Lineage: Bacteria; Pseudomonadati; Verrucomicrobiota; Opitutia; Puniceicoccales; Puniceicoccaceae. RNAcentral also lists the same sequence under 2 other names. The record is from RNAcentral.